This is a long non-coding RNA of Oncorhynchus gorbuscha (pink salmon), 2656 nucleotides long. RefSeq lists it as uncharacterized. The transcript is spliced from 4 exons. The record is from RefSeq and is a predicted model, not a curated record. Lineage: Eukaryota; Metazoa; Chordata; Actinopteri; Salmoniformes; Salmonidae.
GAUGUUGAGGGGGUGGCAUAAACCUUCGACAAGAGAAGCGCUUUUCGAAGACAACAUAUUUGCGCAAGUAUUCCAAUGACAUACAUUAAACCACUAUAUAGAAAAACUAGAUUGCUGUAAUCAAAGGGAAUAGUUAUAAUUUUGUUGUACAACUUUGAAUGUCAGUCAACUGCAACGAGAAACCCCUUCAACUGUUCAAAGUGAGACCGUAUGUUUUAACUCCGUUUAAUCCGAUUGGUUUCUUCGAACGUGACGCGAGAGUGGGACGCAGUCAAUAGACCAAAACAUCAGUAGAGGCAGCAAAGCCUUGUGGAAUUGUUUCACCUGUCUGUUUGAUCGCUAAGAUCAAUAUGUGUAUGCAGAUACCUGCGACGCUGUGAGACAUUUGUAUUUGAUGAAAGUGGGCGUGUAGGUGCAGUGAAGAUCUGUCCACUACAGACACAGAACAUCUGUGAGAUCUCACUGACUCCUGCAGACAAAGGACUCUUACGUAUGACAGAGAGUCCCUCACACAUUCCACACGUAACAAAGGAAACAUGCAUGAUGUCAUCCCUGCAAUCUUCAAAGACAUCUACCGGUAAGAUGCUGUCUGGACCAGUGCACAUUGUCAUGGCAACCCGAAAGAGGGAUUCUCACGUGACCUAGUCACCGAGCUCAAGGAUUGGCCAGACAGGGGAAAGGGGGCCCCUCCUCUCAGCGGCAAGAACAUUGGAGUUGAGGCUUGGACCAAGUGCAGCUAGCAAUUGGAGUGCAGUGAGCUGGUGGCUGGGGAGCUGGGAAAGAACAUUCAUUCCACUGUUCAUGGUGGAAACAAAAGAAUUUGAAAAGCGGGUCGGGAGGAUUUUUAGCUCCAUUUUGGGAAAGAGGGUGUCGUUCUAUUUCACUGUCCCUCCAAAGGAUGACAUAUGUGAGCUGUGAUCAUGGUCCAGGGUACACCCUGAUUCACCCAGGCCACAGACACUGAGGCAAAGACAAUAGUCUGUGAUGGGUCCAGUUAGCCAAACCCGGGAGGAGAUGUGAAAGUGUUUCUGGGACAUACCGGUGAGGUCAUUGUGUAGUCUUUGCCACGAACACACUCAUUUCCAGUGCAUCUCCAUUCUUCGUGAAACAUUCAAACACAGAGUUGCUUCCUAUCCAUUGAAUACUGUAACGGACUUCAAUGACAUUCCUUUCUGAAGUUUAAGUUUGACAAUCACAACAACAAAUACAACCGUUUUCCCAAGAAAUCAGGACCACUCCACACAGACUUACACAAAAUGACCAUGCACUACUGCUCGAAUAAGGUUCAGCUAAAUUUCCCAGGGUUUUCGGUGAACAAUUCAUUAACUGUCUUGUUAUCUCUGAUCUGUGUUUGCCAGAGUGAACAUACAGUCUCGUGAUUGGCUGGCUCUGGCUGAGCUCUUGUUGGGACAGCGGCUGUCACAGCCAAUCAGAGAGAUUGCUCAAACGCAGCACUCCAGAGUUAUGUAUUUUCACUUCUAAUGCAAUACUGUAGCUGGGCAGACAGACUGGUGGAGUGUUAGGCUCACUAAUAAAACGUGCUCUCCCUGUAACCAAAGCAUCCAGUUCUCCAAGGGAACAACCGAGUAAAAUGAAAGUGUAACUCAAUAUAACAUUAAUGAAGCAUUACUACAGUAUACUCUUUAAUUAAUGUUACCUUUUUUUUAAAUCAUUCGUCACUCAAAAUUAUUGUUUUCCAUUGCCUUUGUGUUAGGUUAUUUUAUGGUUUGUUGCCAUGUAAAGAGGUAACAUUAGAACUGUACGUGGCUUAGUGGAGUAAACUGUAGAGACGAUCCUACAUGAGACAAUUACCUCAGCAGUCGAAGCCCUUAGCCCUUAGUAAAGGGUGGUCCAUCCUGUUGGUCACGCACACACACACACACACACACACACACACACACACACACACACACACACACACACACACACACACACACACACACACACACACACACACACACACACACACACACACACACACACACACACACACACACACAAAUCAGUCGCAGCCAAAUGCAUGAAAAUCCAUUCAUUUUCCAGUUAUGUUGACUUUUCCAAAGAGACAGAGAAGAGCUUUGAUCAUCAGCAUAAAAGAAGGUGUAGAACAAAAGACAGUACAGAUGGUUUCCUUCCUAAAGUCAGAGAGUAUCGACUGUACUGUAACUGUUGUGGUUUAAAAUGAACUGUACUGUAACUGUUGUGGUUUAAAAUGAACUGUACUGUGACUGUUGUGGUUUAAAAUGAACUGUACUGUGACUGUUGUGGUUUAAAAUGAACUGUACUGUAACUGUUGUGGUUUAAAAUGAACUGUACUGUAACUGUUGUGGUUUAAAAUGAACUGUACUGUAACUGUUGUGGUUUAAAAUGAACUGUACUGUGACUGUUGUGGUUUAAAAUGAACUGUACUGUGACUGUUGUGGUUUAAAAUGAACUGUACUGUAACUGUUGUGGUUUAAAAUGAACUGUACUGUAACUGUUGUGGUUUAAAAUGAACUGUACUGUAACUGUUGUGGUUUAAAAUGAACUGUACUGUAACUGUUGUGGUAUAAAAUGAACUGUACUGUAACUGUUGUGGUUUAAAAUGAACUGUACUGUAACUGUUGUGGUUUAAAAUGAACUGUACUGUAACUGUUGUGGUUUAAAAUGAACUCAA